Ribosomal RNA from Oryza rufipogon (brownbeard rice), 151 nucleotides. It matches the Rfam family "Bacterial large subunit ribosomal RNA", at positions 2308 to 2453 of the family's 2925-position model. Lineage: Eukaryota; Viridiplantae; Streptophyta; Magnoliopsida; Poales; Poaceae. The record is from Rfam.
GCCCCAAAGUUUGUUUGCACCACUAAAAUGCCAUAGAGUUUAGAGUAAUUUGCUCUUUUUGCCUGCCUGACUGUGAGACCGACUGGUCGAAUAGAGACGAAAGUCGGCCAUAGUGAUCCGGGAGUCCCGUGUGGAAGGGCUCUCGCUCAAC